UGUCGACAUUAUAAUUGUGCAGGCACUUUGGUGACUCUAGAGAACCUCGGCCCAAUCGCACGUCCACGUGAUGGCGACUUUGCAUUCGGAUGUCUGCAGUAUCAACUUUCGAUGCCACUUUCUGCGCCUACCAUUGUGACCACGGGUAACGGGGAAUCAGGGUUCAAUUCUGGAGAGGGAGCUUGAGAAACGGCUACCACAUCCAAAGAAGGCAGCAGGCGCGCAAAUUACCCACUCCCGAAGCUGGGAGGUAGUGACGACA
Pelobates cultripes (western spadefoot toad) is the source of this 262-nucleotide non-coding RNA. The record is from the annotation of a GenBank genome assembly. NCBI's taxonomy places the organism in Eukaryota, Metazoa, Chordata, Amphibia, Anura, Pelobatidae.